RNAcentral lists this ribosomal RNA (1478 nucleotides) under uncultured Bordetella sp. Its description in RNAcentral is "partial 16S-23S ribosomal RNA intergenic spacer". It matches the Rfam family "Bacterial small subunit ribosomal RNA". Lineage: Bacteria; Pseudomonadati; Pseudomonadota; Betaproteobacteria; Burkholderiales; Alcaligenaceae. The record is from RNAcentral.
AGUUCGAUUCUGGCUCAGAUUGAACGCUGGCGGGAUGCUUUACAUGCAAGUCAGACGGCAGCACGGACUUCGGUCUGGUGGCGAGUGGCGAACGGGUGAGUAAUGUAUCGGAACGUGCCUAGUAGCGGGGAUAACUACGCGAAAGCGUAGCUAACCUGCAUACAACCCUUCGGGGAAAGCGGGGACCUUCGGGCCUCGCACUAUUAGAAGCGGCCGAUAUCGGAUUAGCUAGUUGGUGGGGUAACGGCUCACCAAGGCGACGAUCCGUAGCUGGUUUGAGAGGACGACCAGCCACACUGGGACUGAGACACGGCCCAGACUCCUACGGGGAGGCAGCAGUGGGGAAUUUUGGACAAUGGGGGAAACCCUGAUCCAGCCAUCCCGCGUGUGCGAUGAAGGCCUUCGGGUUGUAAAGCACUUUGGCAGGAAGAAACGGCCUGGGAUAAUACCCCGUGCAACUGACGGUACCUGCAGAAUAAGCACCGGCUAACUACGUGCCAGCAGCCGCGGUAAUACGUAGGGUGCAAGCGUUAAUCGGAAUUACUGGGCGUAAAGCGUGCGCAGGCGGUUCCGGAAGAAAAGAUGUGAAAUCCCAGAGCUUAACUUUGGAACUGCAUUUUUAACUACUACUGAGCUAGAGUGUGUCAGAGGAGGUGGAAUUCGCGUGUAGCAGUGAAAUGCGUGAAUAUGCUAGGAGGAACACCGAUGGCGAAGGCAACCUCCUGGGAUAACACUGACGCUCAUGCACAGCAGCGAUGAGGGUGAAACAGGAUUAGAUACAUUAGUCACGCCUAAACGAUGUCAACUAGCUGUUGGGACCUUCGGAGCGCUUGGUAGCCGCAGCCAACAUAGGAUUAUAGGAAACGAUCCGCAAGAUCAAGAAACUCAAAGGAAUUGACGGGGACCGCACAAGCGGUGGAUGAUGUUGGAUUAAUUCGAGCAACGCAAGAAAACGCCACCCUUGACAUGUCUGGAAUCCCGAAAGAGAUUUGGGGUACCAUAGAAGAAUAGGAACACAGGUGCUACUGGCUGUCGUCAGCUCGUGUGUGGGAUGUUGGGUUAAGUCCCGCGAAAAGGCGCAACCCUUGUCGUGGAAGUUGCUACGAAGGGCACUCUGUCAGACUGCCGGUGACAAACCGGAGGAAGGUAGAGGAUGACGUCAGUCCUCAUGGCCCUUAUGGGUAGGGCCUACACGUCAUACAAUGGUCGGGACAGAGGUCGCCAACCCGCGAGGGGGAGCCAAUCCCAGAAACCCGAUCGUAGUCCCGGAUCACCAGUCUGCAACUCGACUGCGUGAGUCGGGAAUUGCUAGUAAUCGCGGAUCAGCAUGUCACCGGUGCGAAUACGUUCCCGGGUCUUGUACCCGCACCGCCCGUCACACCAUGGGAGUGGGGUUUACCGAAGUAGUUAGCCUAACCGUGCAAGGAGGCGAUUACCACGGUAGGAUUCAUGACUGGGGUGAAGUCGUAACAAGGUAA